Actinia tenebrosa (Australian red waratah sea anemone) is the source of this 2176-nucleotide long non-coding RNA. NCBI's taxonomy places the organism in Eukaryota, Metazoa, Cnidaria, Anthozoa, Actiniaria, Actiniidae. The record is from RefSeq and is a predicted model, not a curated record.
UUAAAUACGCUAUGACGUCAUUCAACCAGAAUAAACCGGUUUCAUUAGUGCGCAAACAAAACAAGCUUGUUUAGGUUCUUUAGUCGGUAUUCUACAAAAUAUACGGAAAAUCACACCUAUUCUUCGAAAUAUCAACCCAGUCUGAUGAUGUCUCUGGUAAGGGCAAGUCGUAUCCUUGAUCGUGCUUGCUCAACAUGUGGCCAAAAUGCCAUAACAAGAUGCCUGUCAAUUUCAUGGCCAGUAGCAAAACAGAAAAGGCUAACUAAUGUUCAGGCUGGAUUCGAAGGAUUGCAUGCUGGGUUUGUUUGGGACAACAAACAUGGGUUUGGGUACAACAAAGAUGGUGAACUAGUUCUUGUGAGUGACGACUUCAAUGCUAAAGUCAGCACCAGUGUACCAGAUGAGACCUUUCCUGAAAACUACACUGAAACAUUACUAAAUGCUGCAAAGCAGACCUAUGAAUCCACCCAAGGCCAAAGAAAUCACAAGAAAUAGAGUACAAUAACCUUAUCAUAAUUUAUAUUUGGACACUGUUCUAUGUGCUGGCUGUUCACAAGUACCGAAAUAUUUGAAUCUGGAAAAUGGCAGUGUUGCUGAACUAGAUACAAGAUAUAGAUCAGAAUUUUUGGUCAUAUUCAAUACAUUUUCUUUCUGGCAUUUCAUUAUUUACAGCGAUAUGAUAUUCAUUUGGUUGAAUCCCUUUUGUACAUUUUAAAAUCAUUUUUAUAUUAUGGCAAGUUCAUUCAGCCUUUGAAGCAAUAAUAACUAAAGUUUAGGAAAGAUCAAAAGUAACUACAUGUCAUUAUAUAUAUUAUUAUGUAUAUAGAGAGUGCAAAUAAUAUACCCGUGAAAUAGUUAGGAUGAAAUAGGAGAUAGUUAGCUUUUAAUUAGACAAGACAUAGGAAUUCAGUGAGGCAUGACAAGGGCACAGGCGUUUACUAGAGUAACAACUCAAUAGGCAAAUGAAUAGAUACAAAAAUUCGAACAUGUCAAAUUAUACAAAGCAAAAGCAUGUACAACAAAAUAUUGUUUAAGUUUUUGUAAGUGUGUUUAAAAAUGUUUUAAAAUGCGCGCCCUUGAGUAGCACAGGUGCACUAGUUUACCCAUCAUGGCUCACCUAUUUUAACUAAUUAGACUUAGGCAACAGAAGGUUAGUAAUUAGUUAGCUAGCUAUCUAUUUUACAGGUAAAUUAUUUGCACUCUUUAAUUCCUAAACUUAAGUUAUUAUUAAUAUAUUUAUAUAUUAUAUUGUUUAGUAAUUAAAGUAGUAUGAGAGCGCAAUUUAUUUCAAAUUAUGAGAGGUAAUUAUUAUUUUGAUAUUAGAAAGUGAAUGAUUAUAUGAUUAUUUUAUGUAAAAAGUAUGAUUGAAUAAGAGUUUUCUGAAUUUCCUUGAGCUGCCAUGAAACAAUGGCUCCAAGUUGAAGUUGGACUUAAUAAUAAAAUCGAUAUUCUUGUUUAAGAUGUAAACUAAUUGAAGAAACCUUGAUAAAAAGUGUAAAUGUUAACACAUCAAGUCCAACUGUGAUUGGAGCUAUUAUAUAUUGGUCACUCAAGCAAAUCCAGGAAAGGUCUGUUGUAAAAGUAUUAGUAUUAAGUUACGUUUCAUAGAUCUUUUGAGCUUUGUUAUAAUGCUUUUCCAUUUCAAACCAUGAAGUCAUUCAUCCAAUAUUAUGAUUACUGAAGUGAACUUCGUGUUCUGAAAUCUUAAUGGAGAAUAAAGAAAUAAUACCAAAGCAAAUGACACUUGGUUUGGAAUGUAAAAUAUCAUGCCAAAGCUGAAAAUGUCUAUGGCUGUUAGUGCAACAAAAUCAGACAAAAUAAUUUUAUUUUCAACCAAAAACAAAUAGUAUUUUUUUUAACUUUUUCACUUUGACUAAGAACUUCCUCUUCGAUUCAAAUUUCUUAGGGGUAUAGGACUCUAAUGAUUUAGUCCUUUUAAUUAGUUUAGUUUUAAUUUAACUCCAAGGCUUUGUCUUUGCUAGUGUCCCACAGUGUUCAGUCUUGGGACUUUUUUGAUCAUCGCUCAAUCAUGUUUCUCAAAAUAAUUUAACAGUCAUAUUCAUCUGGCAGCCUCUGUUUAGACAAUACUAUUAAUAGGGUGUUCCACACAGUUCAUCAUUGGGACCUCUUUAAUGAUCGUACAAAUAUAUUUAUUUAAAGAAUUUUCACAAGAUUA